RNAcentral lists this non-coding RNA (28 nucleotides) under Rattus norvegicus (Norway rat). The record is from RNAcentral. Lineage: Eukaryota; Metazoa; Chordata; Mammalia; Rodentia; Muridae.
UAGAGAGAAAUUCCUACUCACAGGGCUU